CAUGUGUGUAUGGUCAGGACAGGUAGGCCAGUCUCCUGUAGUGUUCUGUACAGCUAGGUGAGUACAGUACAGUACUGUACAUGUGUGUAUGGUCAGGACAGGUAGGCCAGUCUCCUGUACUGUUCUGUACAGCUAGGUGAGCACAGUACAGUACUGUACAUGUGUGUAUGGUCAGGACAGGUAGGCCAGUCUCCUGUAGUGUUCUGUACAGCUAGGUGAGUACAGUACAGAACUGUACAUGUGUGUAUGGUCAGGACAGGUAGGCCAGUCUCCUGUAGUGUUCUGUACAGCUAGGUGAGCACAGUACAGUACUGUACAUGUGUGUA
Branchiostoma belcheri (Belcher's lancelet) is the source of this 326-nucleotide long non-coding RNA. RefSeq lists it as uncharacterized. The record is from RefSeq and is a predicted model, not a curated record. Lineage: Eukaryota; Metazoa; Chordata; Leptocardii; Amphioxiformes; Branchiostomatidae. The transcript is spliced from 3 exons.